CCUGCCACAGAUAUCUUUGGUUUAGCUUAUCUCUUGAUCUCUUAGACCUUAUAGCAUUCUGUAUUUACUCAUUAACAUUAACACAUGCAUCAACAUGCAAAUGGUACAGAUAGUCCAUCAUAAAGGCUCAUGCAAAGAUUUUAUUUUUAAAAUAAAUUGAGUGCAGAUCUUUAUUAAAAUUGAAUAUGUAAUCAUCAUGUGCUAGCAUAGAUAUAGAAAUCAAAUUUCUACUAGCUAUAGCUACAUAAAAAUAGUCUCUUUAGAACUAAACUAAAUCCUGAUAGUAAUCGCAAAGGAUAGGUGCCUAUGGCCAUAAUGGCAAUUCUUGCUCUAUUGUUGACUCUAAGAGUAACUUCACCUUUCCUAAGCUCUCUACUUUUCUUUAGACCUUGCAUUGAAGUGCGUAAAUAUGCACUAGAAUCCGAAUAUAAAUCCAACUGAAAGAAGAGAAAAUCAUAAGAUUAAUUUCUAUAAUGAGCGAGUCAGACAUACCUUCAAAAGAUAUGUCCUUCUCUUUGCUCUUCAGGCUUGCCAGAACAGAGCCUCUUGAACUCAUCAAGGUCCCUUCAACUGUUACCGACAUGCUAAGUAAUUCAGACAGGGUGUUAGUAGUCUAAUUCAUAUGGUAGUUUACAAUAAACUAUCCAUAUGAAUUGAGAAGGGAUUGCAGGAUCACAUCUGCCUGAAAAUUUUUGUCCAUGAUCAUAUCGAGCUUCUGAAGCUCCUCGAUAUUCUUGAUCAUUGUCAAACAAUGAUCAUGGACCGAUUGCCCAUCAUGCAUCUUCGCUCUGAAGAGUCUCCUGGAGAUCUCAAAGCAAGCUAUGUGAUUCUGCUCACUAUAUAACUCUUAUAAAUGAGUCAGCAUGUCCUUGACAAUCUUGAUAUCUUCAUGUUAGCACAAAAGAUCAUUAGACAUGGAUGCCAAGAUGUAGCACCUAA
This 939-nucleotide long non-coding RNA is filed under the name Elaeis guineensis (African oil palm). RNAcentral describes it as "long non-coding RNA (EGUI_LNC035032)". Lineage: Eukaryota; Viridiplantae; Streptophyta; Magnoliopsida; Arecales; Arecaceae. The record is from RNAcentral.